AAGAAAUACACCGUCACACAAUCAUAUGCUCAUGCAGAUCUUUAUUUCUAUGCAAUAAUUGAGAGAGAAAAAAAUCAAAAUUCCACCAAAUAAAUGUUCAUACUCAGUGUUGUUGCCAUGAUUUGUAGUUCAGCCUUAGAUUAUGUAGAAGUUAAACAGUCAGACAAAUGAGAGAAUUCAGAAUUAUUAACAAAUAUAAUCCUCGUUCAUCAGCUGAUAACAUCACACUAUCAGUUUGUGAACGUACUCCAAUGAAGUUUAAGAUGUUCCGCCUGAAAUUCA
Long non-coding RNA from Sphaeramia orbicularis (orbiculate cardinalfish), 282 nucleotides. RefSeq lists it as uncharacterized. The transcript has 3 exons. The record is from RefSeq and is a predicted model, not a curated record. NCBI's taxonomy places the organism in Eukaryota, Metazoa, Chordata, Actinopteri, Kurtiformes, Apogonidae.